RNAcentral lists this ribosomal RNA (484 nucleotides) under uncultured bacterium. RNAcentral describes it as "partial 16S ribosomal RNA". It matches the Rfam family "Bacterial small subunit ribosomal RNA", at positions 28 to 507 of the family's 1533-position model. The record is from RNAcentral.
AUUGAACGCUGGCGGCAUGCUUUACACAUGCAAGUCGAACGGCAGCGCGGGCUUCGGCCUGGCGGCGAGUGGCGAACGGGUGAGUAAUGCAUCGGAACGUGCCCAGUAGUGGGGGAUAGCCCGGCGAAAGCCGGAUUAAUACCGCAUACGACCUGAGGGUGAAAGCGGGGGACCGAAAGGCCUCGCGCUAUUGGAGCGGCCGAUGUCGGAUUAGCUAGUUGGUGGGGUAAAGGCUUACCAAGGCGACGAUCCGUAGCUGGUCUGAGAGGACGACCAGCCACACUGGGACUGAGACACGGCCCAGACUCCUACGGGAGGCAGCAGUGGGGAAUUUUGGACAAUGGGGGCAACCCUGAUCCAGCCAUGCCGCGUGCGGGAAGAAGGCCUUCGGGUUGUAAACCGCUUUUGUUCGGGAAGAAAUCCUCUGGGCUAACACCCCGGGGGGAUGACGGUACCGGAAGAAUAAGCACCGGCUAACUACGUG